This 72-nucleotide transfer RNA is filed under the name Phrynosoma platyrhinos (Desert horned lizard). RNAcentral describes it as "tRNA-OTHER". Lineage: Eukaryota; Metazoa; Chordata; Lepidosauria; Squamata; Phrynosomatidae. The record is from RNAcentral.
GCCACCAUGGCAUAGUGGUUUGAGUGUUGCACUACAACUCUACAGACUGGGGUUCAAUUCCCAGUUCAGCCA